RNAcentral lists this ribosomal RNA (229 nucleotides) under uncultured bacterium. RNAcentral's name for it is "partial 16S ribosomal RNA". It matches the Rfam family "Bacterial small subunit ribosomal RNA", at positions 568 to 796 of the family's 1533-position model. The record is from RNAcentral.
UGCGUAGGCGGGGCAAUUAGUCAGUGGUGAAAUCCUGCGGCUUAACCGUAGAACUGCCAUUGAUACUGUUGCUCUUGAGUAUAGUUGAGGUGGGCGGAAUGUGUAAUGUAGCGGUGAAAUGCAUAGAGAUUACACAGAACACCAAUUGCGAAGGCAGCUCACUAAGCUAUAACUGACGCUGAGGUACGAAAGCGUGGGGAGCGAACAGGAUUAGAUACCCUGGUAGUCC